AGUGAACGCUGGCGGUAGGCCUAACACAUGCAAGUCGAACGGCAGCACAGUAAGAGCUUGCUCUUACGGGUGGCGAGUGGCGGACGGGUGAGGAAUACAUCGGAAUCUACUUUUUCGUGGGGGAUAACGUAGGGAAACUUACGCUAAUACCGCAUACGACCUACGGGUGAAAGCAGGGGAUCUUUGGACCUUGCGCGAUUGAAUGAGCCGAUGUCGGAUUAGCUAGUUGGCGGGGUAAAGGCCCACCAAGGCGACGAUCCGUAGCUGGUCUGAGAGGAUGAUCAGCCACACUGGAACUGAGACACGGUCCAGACUCCUACGGGAGGCAGCAGUGGGGAAUAUUGGACAAUGGGGGCAAGCCUGAUCCAGCCAUACCGCGUGGGUGAAGAAGGCCUUCGGGUUGUAAAGCCCUUUUGUUGGGAAAGAAAAGCAGCAGGUUAAUACCCCGCUGUUCUGACGGUACCCAAAGAAUAAGCACCGGCUAACUUCGUG
RNAcentral lists this ribosomal RNA (492 nucleotides) under uncultured bacterium. RNAcentral describes it as "partial 16S ribosomal RNA". It matches the Rfam family "Bacterial small subunit ribosomal RNA", at positions 29 to 507 of the family's 1533-position model. The record is from RNAcentral.